Long non-coding RNA from Oncorhynchus tshawytscha (Chinook salmon), 1356 nucleotides. NCBI's taxonomy places the organism in Eukaryota, Metazoa, Chordata, Actinopteri, Salmoniformes, Salmonidae. The record is from Ensembl.
GUGUGUGUGUGUGUGUGUGUGUGUGUGUGUGUGUGUGUGUGUGUGUGUGUGUGUGUGUGUGUAUGAGUGAGUGAGUGAGUGCAUAUGGAUAUUUUACAUGUGGCACCCCUAGUAUUGCUACUGACAUUAACCAUAAACAAAUGAAAGAUAAUAAUAAGUACUAAGAACAUGAUUUACCCUGGGUGGUCAUGACAUAGGCUGGGUGGUCAUGACAUAGGCUGGGUGGUCAUGACUUAGGCUGGGUGGUCAUGACUUAGGCUGGGUGGUCAUGACAUAGGCUGGGUGGUCAUGACAUAGGCUGGGUGGUCAUGACUUAGGCUGGGUGGUCAUGACAUAGGCUGGGUGGUCAUGACUUAGGCUGGGUGGUCAUGACAUAGGCUGGGUGGCCAUGACAUAGGCUGGGUGGUCAUGACAUAGGCUGGGUGGUCAUGACAUAGGCUGGGUGGUCAUGACUUAGGCUGGGUGGUCAUGACAUAGGCUGGGUGGUCAUGACUUAGGCUGGGUGGCCAUGACAUAGGCUGGGUGGUCAUGACUUAGGCUGGGUGGCCAUGACAUAGGCUGGGUGGUCAUGACUUAGGCUGGGUGGUCAUGACAUAGGCUGGGUGGUCAUGGCAUAGGCUGGGUGGUCAUGACUUAGGCUGGGUGGUAAUGACAUUGUCUAGGUAGUGAUUUGUGAAAGUAACAUUGUGUGAGCCCCAAAUAGCAGUUUAGGUUACAGAGUGCAAACGAGUAAGUGAGGAUUACUAGCAGUCUUAUUUUGUGUUUUAAACAUAUUGCCUAAUUAUAGUGCAUGUUUAAAGAUGUUUCCUGUCAGGCAGAGGCUGUGGCCUAACAACAGCCUGAAGGCCUAUUGAUCCUUGUUUUCUCCAACCAGACCAGGUUGUUUUACCAUGUUGCCAUAGGCGACAGUAUCAGCGCUGGUUGAGGUCUCCUCUGUGCUACCGGUCCUACUUCAUUCCACCCCCUGUCUGAUGUGACAGAUACAGGCCUACUGUGUGAGCUAACGAGGGUAAACAUCAGUCAGAGUGCACAGACCACAUUCUUCUACAUUAUCUCACAGGCAGCCAUGCUUGACUGAGACAAAUGUUCCUCUGUGGAGGACACAGUCUGUGUGUGUGUGUGUGUGUGUGUUAUGUAAUACAGUGUUGACAGACAUUACCUAAACAAAAGUGACAUUUACACAUACUCUCAAUCCACCUAAUACCUGGGAGCUCCUGUCCCCUAGCUGCAGAGAUCCAGAUAAGUAGCCCUACCAGCCAGCCUUAGCGUCUCACCGGCCCCAGCCUCCAGCCUCCAGCCCCAGCCCCAGCCCCAGCCCCAGCUUCCAGCCCCAGCCUCCAGCCUCCAGCCCCAGCC